Molecule: transfer RNA, 65 nt
Filed under: Escherichia coli 96.0939
Lineage: Bacteria; Pseudomonadati; Pseudomonadota; Gammaproteobacteria; Enterobacterales; Enterobacteriaceae
Also listed under: 1 other name
Description: partial tRNA-OTHER
Rfam family: tRNA
About the family: Transfer RNA (tRNA) molecules are approximately 80 nucleotides in length.
Source: RNAcentral
CAGUCGGUUAGAAUACCUGCCUGUCACGCAGGGGGUCGCGGGUUCGAGUCCCGUCCGUUCCGCCA